RNAcentral lists this ribosomal RNA (253 nucleotides) under uncultured bacterium. Its description in RNAcentral is "partial 16S ribosomal RNA". It matches the Rfam family "Bacterial small subunit ribosomal RNA", at positions 524 to 776 of the family's 1533-position model. The record is from RNAcentral.
UACGUAGGGGGCAAGCGUUGUCCGGAUUUAUUGGGCGUAAAGAGCGUGUAGGCGGCUUUACAGGUCCGUUGUGAAAACUCGAGGCUCAACCUCGAGACGCCGGUGGAAACCGUAAAGCUAGAGUCCGGAAGAGGCGAGUGGAAUUCCCGGUGUAGCGGUGAAAUGCGCAGAUAUCGGGAGGAACACCAAUGGCGAAGGCAGCUCGCUGGGACGGUACUGACGCUGAGGCGCGAAAGCGUGGGGAGCAAACAGG